Molecule: long non-coding RNA, 1811 nt
Filed under: Sus scrofa (pig)
Lineage: Eukaryota; Metazoa; Chordata; Mammalia; Artiodactyla; Suidae
Description: lncRNA (ENSSSCG00025002657.1)
Source: RNAcentral
GGGGCAUAUAGAACUUCCCAGGCUAGGGGUCAAAAUGGAGCUAUGGCUGCUGGCCUAUGCCACAGCCACAGCAAUGUGGGAUCUGAGCCAUGUCUGCAACCUACACCACAGCUUAACCCACUGAGUGAGGCCAGGGAUUGAACCUGCAUCCUCAUGGAUACUAGUCAGUUUCAUUUCUGCUGUGCCACAAUGGGAACUCCCAACAGACCCCUUUUCCAAAUGACAACCCACACAAGUCAGAGGUUAGCAAAUUGCAAGCCCAAGGUUCAAGACAGGUGUUUCUAGGUCCAGAGCCCUGCCCAGCAUUAAAAACAAAGGACAGUAUGACCCCAGGGAAUGUGUCAAACCCUCUGGCACUUGGGCCACCCAAGGAGACUAGAAAGGCCCAUCACACUUGAAGGCAUAGGUGUGUCCUGUGCCUGAGGUGAGGCAGUUGGUGGGAGGUUGGGGGAGUUAGAGUCGCUUGUAAACAACAUCACAACUCUAGGCAGAUCCAGUUAGUUCCAUCUUCAACCCAGUAUCUGAGUCUGGAGGUAUGGCCGGGGAGGGGCAGGUGGGAUCUGUACCUUCUUUCACAAUAAGGUGAACAAGCAAAUACCUUUAAGGGGUGGGUAUUUCUCUCUCCAGAUUAAAAAAAAAAAUGACUCACACUCUUCUCUAUCUACUACACCAGACAUAGUAAAAGAAGCAAACCCAAGCCAAACAGGUGACAAGAAUUAAAUGAAACAGCACCCUGCUCUUCAUUUCUGUGUCUUGGCUUGAGGCUCCCUGAGCUGUCUGAAAGUGACCCAGAGAUGACAAGGUCCUUCCUAUCAGGGGCCAGAGGUCUCUCUCAGACUCUCCUGUGACUCUCCCUCCUCCUCCCUGCCCAUCACCACUACCCCAUGUCGUCCGGCUGAUCCCACUUCAGUUCAGCUCACCACCUGUAAAUACAUCUGGCUGCCUGAAUACAUGCAACCUAUUUCUCGCCAUCGUUCAUUUUCGUGGGUUACUUGUAGCAAGCCAUGGCUCAGUUAGGAAAAAGAUAGGAAACAUAGGGAGGAAUUUGAGACUUAGACCCAGGAAAGAGCACAUCCUGCACAGCCAAAAAUGCCGCUUCUACACCUCUCCAUUCAUGUCCUCAAGCACUGCUUUCCAGGUGCCACCCCCAACCAAAGCCCCCUUCUCUAAACCAGAUAUGCCCAAUGCUCAAGACAAGUACCUGUGGAUUCAGGGUUAUACUGCUGGAGAAACCAAAGGCUAUUGGUCAAACCACACCUGCUCCCCCGAUAGACUGUCAAAUCAUCGGCACUUAGGGCUCCGUGACCCCUAUGGAAAUGACCACCUGGUCAUGAUGGAAGAACUACCCAUCCACCCCCAGAGGAUGUGUUUGGGACCUGAGAGUCAGAAGCAGCUGUAACUCAACUUUCCUCACUGGGAGGUCCCUGGGGUGCCACCAGCACCACCUACAACCCCAUCUCUAACCCUGGAAGGGCCAACACUAAGCAGCAUCUUGGUAUGUCGGAGCUCCUCGACCUCUAGUGGCUAUUCCCACUCCCAGCUAUUCUCAUCCCAAACUUCUGCCUCCUGACCAGACCCAGUUCCGUUGGCACUGCUCUUGAGCACCUGAGAGCCUGGCUUGGUCCUCCUGUUGCUUCACUCUCUCAGAAUCAUCUACGGCCAUCCAUAGAGGGUGGUAUUUCAUUAAGUCUUCCAUGUGCCUCCCUGCUCCCAAUCUGUCAGCACUCUCUUGAGCACCUGUGAGCCAGAUCUGGUCUUUCUCUGUCUCUCAGAAAAAUAAAAGAGCAUGUGGAAGGUAGUAUUUCUCCCUC